UGGCUCAGGAUGAACGCUGGCGGCGUGCCUAAUACAUGCAAGUCGAGCGAACAGACGAGGAGCUUGCUCCUCUGACGUUAGCGGCGGACGGGUGAGUAACACGUGGGUAACCUACCUAUAAGACUGGAAUAACUCCGGGAAACCGGGGCUAAUGCCGGAUAAUAUGCGGAACCGCAUGGUUCCGCAAUGAAAGACGGUUUUGCUGUCACUUAUAGAUGGACCCGCGCCGUAUUAGCUAGUUGGUAAGGUAACGGCUUACCAAGGCAACGAUACGUAGCCGACCUGAGAGGGUGAUCGGCCACACUGGAACUGAGACACGGUCCAGACUCCUACGGGAGGCAGCAGUAGGGAAUCUUCCGCAAUGGGCGAAAGCCUGACGGAGCAACGCCGCGUGAGUGAUGAAGGUCUUCGGAUCGUNAAANUCUGUUAUUAGGGAAGAACAAGUGCGUAGGUAACUAUGCGCACCUGACG
Molecule: ribosomal RNA, 471 nt
Filed under: Staphylococcus carnosus
Lineage: Bacteria; Bacillati; Bacillota; Bacilli; Caryophanales; Staphylococcaceae
Description: bacterial SSU rRNA
Rfam family: Bacterial small subunit ribosomal RNA
Source: RNAcentral